GGUUGCGAUCAUACCAGCACUAAUGCACCGGAUCCUAUCAGAACUCCGCAGUUAAGCGUGCUUGGGCGAGAGUAGUAGUAGGAUGGGAGACCCCCUGGGAAGUUCUCGUGUUGCAACCCCCUUUUUUUCGUUUUUUGGUUUAUUUUAUUUACUAGUCGCUGUAUCUUUGGCAUAGCAUGCGAGCAGCCGAUUUUGUGAAAGGAAGGCAUUACGAAGGCGCGCGCGUGACAUAGGCCACACAUGAGGUCAUAGGUGCGAAUGGGAUCAAGGCGUAGAAAGGUAUAAAGGAAUAAGGAGAAGGUAUUCUUUCGGUUGCGAUCAUACCAGCACUAAUGCAUCGGAUCCCAUCAGAACUCCCCAGUUAAGCGUGCUUGGGCGAGAGUAGUACUAGGAUGGGUGACCCCCAGGGAAGUCCUCGUGUUGCAACCC
This 429-nucleotide long non-coding RNA is filed under the name Helianthus annuus (common sunflower). Lineage: Eukaryota; Viridiplantae; Streptophyta; Magnoliopsida; Asterales; Asteraceae. The record is from RNAcentral.